AACGAACGCUGGCGGCAGGCCUAACACAUGCAAGUCGAGCGAGACCUUCGGGUCUAGCGGCGGACGGGUUAGUAACGCGUGGGAACGUGCCCUUCUCUGCGGAAUAGCCACUGGAAGCGGUGAGUAAUACCGCAUACGCCCUUCGGGGGAAAGAUUUAUCGGAGAAGGAUCGGCCCGCGUUAGAUUAGAUAGUUGGUGGGUAACGGCCUUCCAAGUCUACGAUCUAUAGCUGGUUUUAGAGGAUGAUCAGCAACACUGGGACUGAGACACGGCCCAGACUCCUACGGGAGGCAGCAGUGGGGAAUCUUAGACAAUGGGCGCAAGCCUGAUCUAGCCAUGCCGCGUGUGUGAUGAAGGUCUUAGGAUCGUAAAGCACUUUCGCCAGGGAUGAUAAUGACAGUACCUGGUAAAGAAACCCCGGCUAACUCCGUG
RNAcentral lists this ribosomal RNA (432 nucleotides) under uncultured bacterium. RNAcentral's name for it is "bacterial SSU rRNA". It matches the Rfam family "Bacterial small subunit ribosomal RNA", at positions 29 to 507 of the family's 1533-position model. The record is from RNAcentral.